This 768-nucleotide ribosomal RNA is filed under the name uncultured bacterium. Its description in RNAcentral is "bacterial SSU rRNA". It matches the Rfam family "Bacterial small subunit ribosomal RNA", at positions 28 to 776 of the family's 1533-position model. The record is from RNAcentral.
GACGAACGCUGGCGGCGUGCCUAAUACAUGCAAGUCGAGCGAAGUUUUUCUGGUGCUUGCACCGGAAAAACUUAGCGGCGAACGGGUGAGUAACACGUAAAGAACCUGCCUCAUAGACUGGGACAACUAUUGGAAACGAUAGCUAAUACCGGAUAACAGCAUUAACUGCAUGGUUGAUGUUUAAAAGUUGGUUUUGCUAACACUAUGAGACGGCUAUGCGGUGCAUUAGCUAGUUGGUGGGGUAAAGGCCUACCAAGGCGACGAUGCAUAGCCGACCUGAGAGGGUGAUCGGCCACACUGGGACUGAGACACGGCCCAGACUCCUACGGGAGGCAGCAGUAGGGAAUCUUCCGCAAUGGGCGAAAGCCUGACGGAGCAACGCCGCGUGAGUGAAGAAGGAUUUCGGUUCGUAAAGCUCUGUUGUUAGGGAAGAAUGAUUGUGUAGUAACUAUACACAGUAGAGACGGUACCUAACCAGAAAGCCACGGCUAACUACGUGCCAGCAGCCGCGGUAAUACGUAGGUGGCAAGCGUUGUCCGGAAUUAUUGGGCGUAAAGCGCGCGCAGGUGGUUUAAUAAGUCUGAUGUGAAAGCCCACGGCUCAACCGUGGAGGGUCAUUGGAAACUGUUAAACUUGAGUGCAGGAGAGAAAAGUGGAAUUCCUAGUGUAGCGGUGAAAUGCGUAGAGAUUAGGAGGAACACCAGUGGCGAAGGCGGCUUUUUGGCCUGUAACUGACACUGAGGCGCGAAAGCGUGGGGAGCAAACAGG